This 449-nucleotide ribosomal RNA is filed under the name uncultured bacterium. RNAcentral's name for it is "bacterial SSU rRNA". It matches the Rfam family "Bacterial small subunit ribosomal RNA", at positions 354 to 796 of the family's 1533-position model. The record is from RNAcentral.
GUAGGGAAUAUUGCACAAUGGGGGAAACCCUGAUGGAGCGACGCCGCGUGGAGGAUAAGGUCUUCGGAUUGUAAACUCCUGUCAUGCGUGAACAAGGUUGCUUGGUUAAUACCUGGGCAAAUUGAUGGUAACGCAAGAGGAAGAGACGGCUAACUCUGUGCCAGCAGCCGCGGUAAUACAGAGGUCUCAAGCGUUGUUCGGAAUCACUGGGCGUAAAGGGUGCGUAGGUGGCGUGGUAAGUCAGAUGUGAAAGCCCGGGGCUCAACCUCGGAACUGCAUCCGAUACUGCCAUGCUAGAGUACUGGAGAGGUGACUAGAAUUCUCGGUGUAGCAGUGAAAUGCGUAGAUAUCGAGAGGAAUACCAAAGGCGUAGGCAGGUCACUGGACAGUUACUGACACUGAGGCACGAAGGCCAGGGGAGCGAACGGGAUUAGAAACCCUUGUAGUCC